Molecule: ribosomal RNA, 635 nt
Filed under: uncultured Marinobacter sp.
Lineage: Bacteria; Pseudomonadati; Pseudomonadota; Gammaproteobacteria; Pseudomonadales; Marinobacteraceae
Description: bacterial SSU rRNA
Rfam family: Bacterial small subunit ribosomal RNA
Source: RNAcentral
CGCCUGGGGAGUACGGCCGCAAGGUUAAAACUCAAAUGAAUUGACGGGGGCCCGCACAAGCGGUGGAGCAUGUGGUUUAAUUCGACGCAACGCGAAGAACCUUACCUGGCCUUGACAUCCAGAGAACUUUCCAGAGAUGGAUUGGUGCCUUCGGGAACUCUGAGACAGGUGCUGCAUGGCCGUCGUCAGCUCGUGUCGUGAGAUGUUGGGUUAAGUCCCGUAACGAGCGCAACCCCUAUCCCUGGCUGCUAGCAGGUAAUGCUGAGAACUCCAGGGAGACUGCCGGUGACAAACCGGAGGAAGGUGGGGAUGACGUCAGGUCAUCAUGGCCCUUACGGCCAGGGCUACACACGUGCUACAAUGGCGCGUACAGAGGGCUGCCAACUCGCGAGAGUGAGCCAAUCCCUUAAAACGCGUCGUAGUCCGGAUCGGAGUCUGCAACUCGACUCCGUGAAGUCGGAAUCGCUAGUAAUCGCGAAUCAGAAUGUCGCGGUGAAUACGUUCCCGGGCCUUGUACACACCGCCCGUCACACCAUGGGAGUGGAUUGCACCAGAAGUAGUUAGUCUAACCUUCGGGAGGACGAUUGCCACGGUGUGGUUCAUGACUGGGGUGAAGUCGUAACAAGGUAACCGUA